UCGUAAGAGGACGUAUAGGGUGUGACGCCUGCCCGGUGCCGGAAGGUUAAUUGAUGGGUUAGCUUAGGCGAAGCUCUUGAUCGAAGCCCCGGUAAACGGCGGCCGUAACUAUAACGGUCCUAAGGUAGCGAAAUUCCUUGUCGGGUAAGUUCCGACCUGCACGAAUGGCGUAACGAUGGCCACACUGUCUCCACCCGAGACUCAGCGAAAUUGAACUUGCUGUUAAGAUGCAGUAUACCCGCGGCUAGACGGAAAGACCCCGUGCACCUUUACUACAGCUUUGCACUGGACUUUGAAUAUAUUUGUGUAGGAUAGCUGGGAGACUUUGAAGCGUGAACGCCAGUUUGCGUGGAGUCAAAACUGAAAUACCAGCCUGAUAUCUUUGAGGUUCUAACCUAGGCCCGUUAUCCGGGUCGGGAACAGUGUAUGGUGGGUAGUUUGACUGGGGCGGUCUCCUCCUAAAGAGUAACGGAGGAGCGCGAUGGUACCCUCAGCACGGUCGGAAAUCGUGCUAUGAGCGCAAAGGUAAAAGGGUGCUUAACUGUGAGACAGACACGUCGAACAGAUACGAAAGUAGGUCUUAGUGAUCCGGUGGUUCUGUAUGGAAGGGCCAUCGCUCAACGGAUAAAAGGUACUCUGGGGAUAACAGGCUGAUUCCUCCCAAGAGUUCAUAUCGACGGGGGAGUUUGGCACCUCGAUGUCGGCUCAUCACAUCCUGGGGCUGUAGCCGGUCCCAAGGGUAUGGCUGUUCGCCAUUUAAAGUGGUACGUGAGCUGGGUUUAAAACGUCGUGAGACAGUUUGGUCCCUAUCUGCCUUGGGCGUUGGAAAUUUGAGGGGACCUGCUCCUAGUACGAGAGGACCGGAGUGGACAGAUCUCUGGUGUACCGGUUAUGACGCCAGUCGUAUCGCCGGGUAGCUAUAUCUGGAAGAGAUAACCGCUGAAAGCAUCUAAGCGGGAAACUCGCCUCAAGAUGAGAUUUCCCUGGUAACUUGAUUACCCUGAAGGGUCGUGGAAGACUACCACGUUGAUAGGUCGGGUGUGGAAGCGCAGUAAUGCGUUAAGCUAACCGAUACUAAUUGCCCGUGUGGCUUGAUCCU
Molecule: ribosomal RNA, 1099 nt
Filed under: metagenome
Description: bacterial LSU rRNA
Rfam family: Bacterial large subunit ribosomal RNA
Source: RNAcentral